UCAGGAUCAACCACAUUGUGUUCUACCACGCUUUCGUUUAUUUGCUACUAAGCAGUUCUCAACAGCAGCAACUUGUUGUUUUCUUGUCUACAGAGAAUUUAUUGAUGAAAAACAAAAACAAACUAUAGACAAAUUUAAAUAUUUUAUUAUUUGAAUUAAUUUAACUGGUCUAACACAUGUGAGCGAUGCUGGUCACUUUAGAUUCAACACUGGCUGCCCCCAUUACUCAAUUCCCCCCGUCUGUUAACUUUUCGAACAACUUUCAGACAACGUUGCCGCACACGCCACACGUCAUUUGAAUAUUUUUGUAUAAAAUUUUAAUGUAAUUGAGUAAAAUUUAAAACGCUUUAGUAUUCUAAAUCCAGAUGUUUAGUUUUCAAAUAUUUCUACUAUAAUGUGGCGGUAAUUGAAAAGAAAGACGCAAAUAUCUAGAAGUUCAUAAAAGGUAUCAAAGACUAGGGUCCUCAAGAAAAAAAAUUAUAUAUAUAUACGAAUUAUGGCCUUCAAACUGCCAAUGAAACCGUCACAUGCUGCCCGAAUGUUACUCUGCGGUAUUUUGACCCACUCCCGGCGAAGCGCUUGCUUGAUCGACACUUUGGUAUUUUUAGUGCCAAACUAGCUUUUCAAAAUACUCCAGACACAGCUGUCCAACGGAUUGGUAUCCGGAGAUUUUGGUGGCCAUUGUGUGCUGGGAAUGAAGCGAGGAACCUCAUUUUGUAAACAUUCUUGGGUGGUGCGUGCUGAAUGCGUUGUUGCUGAGUCCUGUUGGAAAGUACAAGGUCUGCAGCCAAAAUUUUUUCUGAAACGAUAUUCAAAUUUGAAGUACUUGUAUCUAGGAUGAAUGCAGUGGGAAUUGACAAGAUUCAAUUCAUUUGGGCUGAUAUUAACCAUUUGGUGCACCUGAUAUCGGAUAAAGAUUUAUAUGGAAGCUAUAUCCAAAUCUGAUCCGAUCUAGAUAAAAUUUGACAGAUGUA
Long non-coding RNA from Musca domestica (house fly), 974 nucleotides. RefSeq lists it as uncharacterized. The transcript is spliced from 2 exons. NCBI's taxonomy places the organism in Eukaryota, Metazoa, Arthropoda, Insecta, Diptera, Muscidae. The record is from RefSeq and is a predicted model, not a curated record.